AACGAACGCUGGCGGCAUGCCUAACACAUGCAAGUCGAACGAGACCUUCGGGUCUAGUGGCGCACGGGUGCGUAACGCGGGGGAACCUGCCCUUAGGUUCGGAAUGACGCGCCGAAAGACGUGCUAAUACGGGAUCAUAUAUUCCGUCCAAAGAUUUAUCGCCUUUGGAGGGGCCCGCGUUGGAUUACCUAGAUGUUAGGGUAAAAGGCUACCAAUGCGACGUGCCAUAACUGGUCUGAGAGGAUGAGCAGCCACACUGGGACUGAGCCACGGCCCAGACUCCUACGGGAUGCGGCAGUGGCGGAUAUUGGAAUAUGGGCGAAAGGAUGAUCCAGCACUGACGCGUGAGUGAUGAAGGCCUUAGGGUUGUAAAGCUCUUUUAUCCGUGAUGAUAAUGACAGUACCGGGAGAAUAAGCUCCGGCUAACUCCGUG
Molecule: ribosomal RNA, 433 nt
Filed under: uncultured bacterium
Lineage: Bacteria
Description: partial 16S ribosomal RNA
Rfam family: Bacterial small subunit ribosomal RNA
Source: RNAcentral